GUUAUUUCUUUUAUAUAUUGCCUUUUCUGUCAUUUUCUGAGAACCUUGAACAAGGUUCAAUUAUUAUUUAUGUUAAUAAGUUCAUGCAUAUCCCUACAUUCUGGGGCCGUCCCUUGACAAGCACAUGUACCUGAUUGAUUUGGCUGCUAUUUCCGCAAGUCUUGUCCUAAUGUAAAAUGCAUAGAAAAGCUUAGAUGUGUUUAUAAACUUAAAUGGCAAUAUUGUUUCUGACACAGCUAGACUGCUAUUAGUGACAGGUGACAUAUCUUAAAUUUCCAAAUGGACUUGUCUAAGUUCUUAUAGUAGAAUGGACACUAAAUGAUACAUUCUAGUUAGGAUGGGCAAUUCCAUGUUAUAACUUCGUUAUCUUAUCACGCAUUGUUGUGUAUGUAUUUGUUACAAAUGCUGAAUGAGGUUUUCUUUCAACCUUUCUACUAAGAUGCUUUCUUUUCUUCCGCAUCCCACCACCCCCCGAUUAAUGGAAGCUGUUCUUGAGGAGAUGUCAGAACUUUCUUGCUGCUAAUUGGUCCUGUUAUGCUAAUCUGUUUCUGGGAUUUACUUCCACAUUCUUUUUUGUUGGUUUCUGAUAGCUUAAUUACAUAUCUCAGUACUAAUUGUUAUAUUUAUUUGACAUUUCAACUUAAUGUCAAUGUUGACCAGCAAAACAAGUAAAAACUUGAUGUAUAUAAGGAGGAUCUUACUUUCCUUUUAUGUUGAAUUUGUAGGAGAAGUUAAGGAUUGCAGUU
Molecule: unclassified non-coding RNA, 746 nt
Filed under: Hevea brasiliensis (rubber tree)
Lineage: Eukaryota; Viridiplantae; Streptophyta; Magnoliopsida; Malpighiales; Euphorbiaceae
Source: RNAcentral